GUGCUCGCUUCGGCAAUAUAUAUACUAAAAUUGGAACGAUACAGAGAAGAUUAGCAUGGACCUUGCGCAAGGGUGACACACAAAUUUGUGAAGCGUUCCAUACUUAA
This 107-nucleotide small nuclear RNA is filed under the name Dasypus novemcinctus (nine-banded armadillo). Lineage: Eukaryota; Metazoa; Chordata; Mammalia; Cingulata; Dasypodidae. The record is from RNAcentral.